RNAcentral lists this long non-coding RNA (827 nucleotides) under Marmota monax (woodchuck). The record is from RNAcentral. Lineage: Eukaryota; Metazoa; Chordata; Mammalia; Rodentia; Sciuridae.
UGUUGUUUACUUUUAUACAUUUCUAGUUGCUUUUGGAGACUUUGGGACCUUACUAGUUAGCUGUAGAUGUCCUCAGGCUUUCUGUUUUUAUGUCUAUUAAAAAAAAAAUGAUUCAAGUGCUUGUCAGAGUUCAGAUUGCAUGACUUUCAUUGCAGAUGCUUAAUCAUUUCACCAGGUCCACCUCUCUAAAUUCUGCCAAAAUUUGGGUUUAUAGUGUCACACUAUUUUCUAUAGUUAGUCCAACACCUUCGUUUCCAAGCUCAUCAGUGUUCUUCCUCAAUUAAGCAUCAUCUUCUUACUGACUCUUUGAAUUUCUCAGGGUCACUUUGCUUUAUGCAUUCAUAUUACCUUCUUCCACAGCAUUAGCAUCUUGAGAUAAUAAAUGUGUUAUUUGUCUUUAUCAUCCAGAUUUGUAAUACUGGGAUCAAGAUCAAUUAUUGUGGGUCACUAUUCAGUAAGUUUUAUAGGAAAACCCACUACAGGGAUUGCCUUUAUGGAAGGACGCCUAUCUUUGGUAGGUAAAUUAACUUGGCUCAAAUUUGAGAGAUGAAAUUAUCUCAACCUGUUAAGGUUUUUUUUUAAUUUUGUUUUGUAUUGUUCACAGAUAAGUGAGUGUUCUCAUCAAGGAAUUCAUUAUAUAGUGCAACAUAAUAGGCCUGAUUAUCUAUUGAAAAGAUGGCAGACCAGGAUAUCUAGAAAGACUAGUUUGGAAAAAAAAAAUCCACAGUCCCCUCUACUUGAAUGGGGUAUAUUAAAAUCCUCAAUUUCAUUUAAUGUUUAGAGACAUAAGAACUCUGAUUAGAGAAUCAUAUGGACCUAAAAUAUAA